GCAUUGUACAAAAGGUGAGAAAGUUGUCCCCUGGACAAGGCUCCCAGGCCUAUACAAUACACAGACAGUUAAGGCACUGUUACCUACUUCGUGGUAUUGAACCACAGUUUUAA
Loxodonta africana (African savanna elephant) is the source of this 113-nucleotide small nuclear RNA. The record is from Ensembl. NCBI's taxonomy places the organism in Eukaryota, Metazoa, Chordata, Mammalia, Proboscidea, Elephantidae.